Molecule: unclassified non-coding RNA, 380 nt
Filed under: uncultured fungus
Lineage: Eukaryota; Fungi
Description: partial contains 5.8S ribosomal RNA, internal transcribed spacer 2, and large subunit ribosomal RNA
Source: RNAcentral
AACGCACCUUGCGCUCUAUGGCAAUCCGUAGAGCAUGCCUGUUUGAGUGCCAUGAAAUCUCCCACCCCAAGCGGUUUUUAAAUGAAACGGCUUGGCGGAUGGGGUCUGGAUGGGUGCCUCUGCCUGCGCUACCUAGCACAGGCUCGCCCGAAAUGCAUGAGCGCCUCGAGACACUUUGCAUCCGCCUCUCUGUUUGGGAGGAGGCGGCCAAGCGCGCUCUGAUCAUCAGGCAUAGCAUGAUACGUCAUUUGCUAUGCUGUAGGAGAGCAUUUGGUUGUGGUUAUACCGCGUGCGUCAUUUUUUUUUCUUGCAAAGAGGAAAAAAAAAGCCCCCCUUUCAUUUCUGGUCUCAAAUCAGGCAGGAUCACCCGCUGAACUUAA